UCAACUGCGCAACUUUCUAGCGCAGGGGUUUUCAGUUGCUGACUCAGGCGCGGUUAUUCUAGCAGAUGAAUCAACAGGAGAACAGUGAAAACUCGUUGGCAUAUCAAAUGAUCUUGUUUUCAAAUCCGUAGUUUUUCCACCUCACUCGGUCAAAGUUAUAUACCAUAUUUGGGAUUUUUGAAAUCUUUGUUUUGAUUUCUAUUAUUACACAAGAACUGUGAAUUUCAAGAAUUCACACAAAACACGAAUCGUCAACUUGGAAAAGAGGCCUUGGCCCCAACGGUUUGUAUUAUCACAGGUUUCCCGCGCACUUGACCCAGGCCCUUUCAGACCAUUUAGCUAAACGAGAGGAAUGGGCUGACCUGAUUCUUCAGGCUAAUCGCCUGUCGGAGUAUCGAGUAAAUCGGACUCCAUAAAAACAAUCCAUACGCACCCUUUUUCGCAGGCAACGCCAUACACUUGGAGUGACAGAGAAAGAGUAUGGCGUUAAUGGUAAUUAAGACCGAGGGCCAAGCUUGACAAUCUUCCCUGACGCGUCAGUGCGCAUGAGAACACGGUGCCACCGCCUAGCUAUGAAGGACCAAUCCAUUUCAAACCAGGACCUCCAUCGGAUUGCCUCGUCAAACGCAAGUUUCAAGUACAGAGGAAGCUGACACGAUUUGAAGGCUUCAAGUACUGCACUCUUUUGAUGAGGCUGAAGGCAGCGACCCGCUUCCUGCAGCCAGCCUUCGAGGAUGACGUCAGCCUCGUGAAAUGAUAGCACUGGGACCUCCAUAAAGCACGUCUCCGGUACUCGUGCAAGGGUAACUCCCGCGAUCCGACAGAGUUGAGAGCAAAUGCUAUGAAGAAGCAACCGUGUACUGGAUGAGUCGGGGGAUGUCCCAAGGAAACGAUACACGACAGCACAAGACUCGGGAUCACUUGCCUGAAACCGAUACACGACAACAUUAGAUGCACGAUUUACGACAUUAAAUACACGACAAUAAAAGACAACCCUAGACUCGAGAUCAAAGACAAGCGACAAAAAGGCAAAAUUACAUUAAAGAUAAAAUAACACACUCACCUCGAGUGAUGACGUCAUCCACGAUCUCAUCACCAUAGCGACCUUGGCCAUGAUUGACGUUUUACCACACCCCGAUUCUCCAUGUAUAACCACAAUCCUUCGCGGGUUCUGAAUCCUUUCCCUAAUGGAGCCAAGAAAUUGUUUCCUCCCCUGAAAAGUCUUGCACUUCUUUUGACAAAACGUCCCUUGGUCAAAUAACUCUUUCGCAAGGGAGUCUCUCUCAAUGGUUUUCUCCUUUUCGGCUAUCGAUAGAUAAGAAAAUAUAGUUUAUAAUAGUAAUGGGCGAUACUAGGUGAUAUCAGAAUGACAUUCGUUGUAUCAUAUUUAUCAGCACAUGUAGUGAUAGGAAAUUUUAACGAAUAGGAUUUCAGUAUUUUCGCUGGCAUUAAAUCUUAAAUAUAUUUUAUUCAUAAGGAUUUAAUACAAUAAACAAAAUAUUACAUGGCCACUAGCGAAUAGGCAGAUAAUAUCUAUCACUCGUUUGCUCACAGGCUUCCCACCCGCGUCAGUGAAGGAUUUCUAAGGACAUACAAAUUCACGCGAAUAAUUAUCUAUGAGUUAUAUCUUCAUUCUCUUAUUCAUGAAAUAAACUUAGUUGGGAUGUAAAUG
Nematostella vectensis (starlet sea anemone) is the source of this 1672-nucleotide long non-coding RNA. RefSeq lists it as uncharacterized. The transcript has 4 exons. Lineage: Eukaryota; Metazoa; Cnidaria; Anthozoa; Actiniaria; Edwardsiidae. The record is from RefSeq and is a predicted model, not a curated record.